UAUUUUUUUUUCCAUUUUAACCAUCACAGUUGGAACUAAGUCUUGAGAGGCUGCCUUCAAUCUUCAUAAAUACAGAAAUGAGCAUGUAUGCAAAUAUACAUGCAUAUAUUAUAUACAUUUGUAAAAGAGCCAUUUAAAAAUCUAAUUUCAGCUGUGCCUUAGAGUACAUGAGGGUGAUUUCUAAAAAAUCUUCAGUACCAGUGGUAGCGUGGGGACUGGCUGGGAAGCGGGCGGUCGAGUGUGUCCUGUGUGGACGCGGAUCCUGCCCGAAGCUGGGCGGAGGAGAACUAAAGCUAAGGUGUUCUCGUGAAGUUCUGACUUUCCAGGGAAUGCUUGUGUUUGAUUAUUAAAUGUCUAUUAUAGGACUUUGGGUGAUCAGCCCAUGACCUAGAUCUCUAGACAAAAUAAAACAGGGAAAAUUUGCUAGAAUCAAGAAUGAUGGAUCCAUGUUCAGUUGAAGUCCAGCUUCGUACUACAAAUGAAUGCCAUAAAACCUACUAUACUCGUCACACAGGUUUUAAGACUUUGCAAGAAUUGUCAUCAAAUGAUAUGCUUUUACUUCAACUUAGAACUGGAAUGACACUUUCUGGGAACAAUGCAAUUUGCUUUCAUCAUGUAAAAAUUUACAUUGACAGAUUUGAGGAUUUACAGAAGUCAUGUUAUGACCCAUUUAACAUACACAAAAAAUUAGCCAAAAAAAAUUUGCACAUAAUUGACUUAGAUGAUGCCACUUUUCUGAGUGCAAAAUUCGGAAGACAGCUUGUACCUGGUUGGAAGCUUUGUCCAAAAUGCACACAGAUAAUCAAUGGAAGUGUGGAUGUUGAUACUGAAGACUGCCAGAAAAGGAAACCUGAGUCAGAUGGAAGAACUGCUAAAGCUUUGAGGUCACUACAAUUUACAAAUCCAGGGAGGCAAACUGGAUUUGCUCCAGAAACUGGUAAAAGAGAAAAAAGAAGGCUUACAAAAAAUGCAACCGCUAGUUCAGACAGACAAGUGAUAACAGCAAAGAGUAAGGUCUGUGAUAGCCAAGGUCUCCUGAUUUUUAGUGGGAUGGACCUCUGUGACUGCCUCGAUGAAGAUUGCUUAGGAUGUUUCUAUGCUUGUCCUGCCUGUGGUUCUACCAAGUGUGGAGCUGAAUGCCGCUGUUACCACAAGUGGCUGUAUGAGCAAAUUGAAAUUGAAGGAGGAGAAAUAAUUCAUAAUAAACAUGCUGGAUAAUCUGUGGUACCAAACUAUGGGGCCUUUAAAGGUCAUUAUUUCUAAAAUUCUGUUACUCUAAGAUACAUUUUAAGCUUGAUUGUCAUAUGACAAAGAUUUUAAAACCACCUCAGUGUACCCUAAUUUUUCAUCUUGGGUGCUUUAAGAUUCACUAUUUGAUAUAAAUUCAGAUAGGCUAUUUUUCAGCCUAUUAAGCCUGUCUGGAUCAAUAUAAACAAGUAGGGUGUAGGCAGUCCUCUAUUUGCAUGUUUCCCUUGGGCACAAAUUUCAGUGACCCAGAUUUAGUUUAAACACCAGUUUCCUUAACAGGAAGGAAAGGAAACUGGUAAGGAAACUGUUGUUAAAAUCUAGGUUAAAAUUUUAGUUAGCACAGUAUAACUCUGAGUAAUUACAUGAAGUACAAACUUCUCUGCUAGUUCUUCAGUCUACAAAUCGCUAUGUAAAUAACAGAUAUACUUCAUGAUUAAUGACCAGUCAUGUUGACUACUUUCAGAUUCUUCCAGUGGUUUGUCCCUGUGUAUCUGUUAUUCAGUUCACUUACAGCAGAGCACGUAGUUAUGCUGUCUCUUUGUCAUCCACUGGACAUUUUAUAGAAGUGAACACUCAAAAGAACUGGCCAACAAAGAUGAAAGUGCAGCAAAGCAAUGAAAAAUGAUAACACUGGAAGUGAAAUUUUAAUCAAACAUAAAUGAAUUUGUAGAAGUCACUGACCAUGGGAAUAUUGUUCUUUCUGCUGUGCAUUCAUAGGAGCUUAAUGAAGGCAAACUUAUCAACACAAAUAAGAAACGUGGUUGCAAUAAAGACAAAUGUGUCCCAGAGGAAGUGAUGGUUAAAAAAAAAAACAAAACUUUACAUUAAAGGAUAUUUAAUGUGAAUA
Non-coding RNA from Macaca mulatta (Rhesus monkey), 2095 nucleotides. The record is from RefSeq and is a predicted model, not a curated record. Lineage: Eukaryota; Metazoa; Chordata; Mammalia; Primates; Cercopithecidae.